This 253-nucleotide ribosomal RNA is filed under the name uncultured bacterium. RNAcentral's name for it is "partial 16S ribosomal RNA". It matches the Rfam family "Bacterial small subunit ribosomal RNA", at positions 524 to 776 of the family's 1533-position model. The record is from RNAcentral.
UACGUAUGGGGCAAGCGUUGUUCGGAUUUAUUGGGCGUAAAGGGCACGCAGGCGGAUUGUCAAGUUGGAUGUUUAAACGUCAGGCUCAACCUGAUACCAGCAUCCAAAACUGAUUUUCUAGAGUCUCGGAGAGGAAAGCGGAAUUCUCGGUGUAGCGGUGGAAUGCGUAGAUAUCGAGAGGAACAUCAAUGGCGAAGGCAGCUUUCUGGACGAAGACUGACGCUCAGGUGCGAAAGCGUGGGGAGCAAACAGG